AUACAGAGGGUGCGAGCGUUAAUCGGAUUUACUGGGCGUAAAGCGCGCGUAGGUGGUUAAUUAAGUCAAAUGUGAAAUCCCCGAGCUUAACUUGGGAGUUGCAUUCGAUACUGGUUAGCUAGAGUAUGGGAGAGGAUGGUAGAAUUCCAGGUGUAGCGGUGAAAUGCGUAGAGAUCUGGAGGAAUACCGAUGGCGAAGGCAGCCAUCUGGCCUAAUACUGACACUGAGGUGCGAAAGCAUGGGGAGCAAACAGGAUUAGAUACCCUGGUAGUCCAUGCCGUAAACGAUGUCUACUAGCCGUCGGGGGAUUUGAUCCUUUAGUGGCGCAGCUAACGCGAUAAGUAGACCGCCUGGGGAGUACGGUCGCAAGACUAAAACUCAAAUGAAUUGACGGGG
Molecule: ribosomal RNA, 396 nt
Filed under: uncultured bacterium
Lineage: Bacteria
Description: partial 16S ribosomal RNA
Rfam family: Bacterial small subunit ribosomal RNA
Source: RNAcentral